GACGGAGGGGGCUAGCGUUGUUCGGAAUUACUGGGCGUAAAGGGCGCGUAGGCGGUGCAGUAAGUUGGAAGUGAAAUCUCGAGGCUCAACCUUGAAAUUGCUUUCAAAACUGUUGUACUAGAGUGUAGUAGGGGAUGAUGGAAUUCCUAGUGUAGAGGUGAAAUUCUUAAAUAUUAGGAGGAACAUCAGGGGCGAAAGCGAUCAUCUAGGCUAUUACUGACGCUGAGGCGCGAAAGCGUGGGGAGCAAACAGG
Molecule: ribosomal RNA, 253 nt
Filed under: uncultured bacterium
Lineage: Bacteria
Description: partial 16S ribosomal RNA
Rfam family: Bacterial small subunit ribosomal RNA
Source: RNAcentral